AUUUUGAUAAAACCAAUCAUUUAAAGCUUCUAACAACAUCCCCUCGGUCGUUUCUUCAUAAUAACUCUUCUUCUAUUUGUCCCCAUCCCAUUCGCUCCCCUCCUCUCCCUCCUCAAAUCCUCUCUCUCCUGCGCCAUCUUCCUCUUCCUUACCCUUGCUAGCUACCUCUCCACUCUCUUUGAUGGUUGCAUCAUUAUCUCCUACAACAACACUAGUGCCAACCUUUCCAUGCCAUCACCCCAUCCCUCA
This 249-nucleotide long non-coding RNA is filed under the name Phoenix dactylifera (date palm). RNAcentral's name for it is "long non-coding RNA (PDAC_LNC007702)". Lineage: Eukaryota; Viridiplantae; Streptophyta; Magnoliopsida; Arecales; Arecaceae. The record is from RNAcentral.